This is a long non-coding RNA of Bolinopsis microptera, 761 nucleotides long. RefSeq lists it as uncharacterized. Lineage: Eukaryota; Metazoa; Ctenophora; Tentaculata; Lobata; Bolinopsidae. The record is from RefSeq and is a predicted model, not a curated record. The transcript is spliced from 3 exons.
CAACCACCCAUGGCCUAAAACCGGCCCCCUUCAAGGAGAACGCUAACAUCAGAGGAAGAAGGAGGGGCAUUUGGAGGUGGCUACUGAGACAGCUUACACGUUACGGGCUUGAGCAAAACAGGGAGAAGUCCCUACGGAUGUCGACAAUUGGGCGAAUUCUGCCCCGGUAUCUCAGGCUUGACAACGGCCGGGGGGUCAUAUCGUUGAACAGACGAUAUGGCCGGACAAAGAGGGAGCGGGCCUCUCGGCAAGUCCGAAUGGACAAAUUAGCCGCACAGAUAGUGCAGCUACAAACACAGUACCGGCUGUUAGAAGAAGAGGCAGCCACAGAAAGAGCAGCAGAGGUUGCCAACAAUACAGAGCCCUCGCAUGAUGACCACUUACGAUCCCCGACCAGUGAAUUUGAAAUAAUUUCGUUGUGCUUGAAUAAAAUAAGUUGUUAGUAACAUUCGACAGUAUAGAAUCUUAGAAUGUCUUUUAUGGAAAAAUCACGAAAGAGCUAAUGAAAAAAGUUGAAGAUAAUAAACCCCUGGAAACAUCAAUGUGAGUAAAGCUAAAGUUUAACAUAAACUCCUGAUAAAACAUAUAAUCAAAUCAGUAAAUUAGUCCGUUAAUUAAUACUUCAUUAGUGAACUGUAUUUUUCCCUCAAGACCGUCUAAAAUGUAAAUUAAAAGUUUUGUAAAAGUUGUCGAAUUGUUGUCUAGUGUUACCAUUUUUAUAUUAUCAGAGUACGGCAUGAAUCCGCAACACCUCCCCCUCG